AAGUGAGGAAGUUGCGAAGUCGUAAGAUUCCGUAUGUAAAAGUCCAAUGGAGCAACCACGCGGCGCGAGAAGCCACUUGGGAGCUCGAGGAAACCAUGCGGAGAGAGUAUCCGCAUCUAUUCGAAUCGACGAGUUAAGGUAUGUGUAAUUUCGCGGACGAAAUUAUUUUAAGGGGUGAAGAAUGUAAUAUACCGAAAAUUCGGAAAAUAAAAGUCGAACAUUAGUCAAAUUGAUCGAAGUGCGAGGAUGGAACACUUCGGAAAGUCCGAAGGUGUUAAAAUGAGUAAAAGUGAGUUGUGGAGGGUUUUCGAGAGCUAAAGAAUCAAAUUCUGCAAAACUGCAGAUUUUCAGCUCUCGGGGACCGGUCCGUGGUGGGAGAGACCGGUCCCCGAACGCGUAUGAAAUGAGACAGCCGAAAAAUCGGCUAAGUCCUGAGAAAUUAG
This 443-nucleotide long non-coding RNA is filed under the name Ananas comosus (pineapple). RNAcentral's name for it is "long non-coding RNA (ACOM_LNC043219)". Lineage: Eukaryota; Viridiplantae; Streptophyta; Magnoliopsida; Poales; Bromeliaceae. The record is from RNAcentral.